GCGGGCAAGCAGCAGGUUUGCCGCCAGCCUUCCAAGCUGAGCAGAGAAGGGUUCGAUUCCCUCUGCCCGCUCCA
This 74-nucleotide transfer RNA is filed under the name Pseudomonas putida. RNAcentral's name for it is "tRNA-Gly". RNAcentral also lists the same sequence under 5 other names. Lineage: Bacteria; Pseudomonadati; Pseudomonadota; Gammaproteobacteria; Pseudomonadales; Pseudomonadaceae. The record is from RNAcentral.